UACAGGGGGGGCAAGCGUUGUUCGGAAUUACUGGGCGUAAAGGGCUUGUAGGUGGCCAACUAAGUCACACGUGAAAUCCCCAGGCUUAACCUGGGAACUGCGUGUGAUACUGGAUGGCUUGAAUUCGGGAGAGGGAUGCAGAAUUCCAGGUGUAGCGGUGAAAUGCGUAGAUAUCUGGAGGAAUACCGGUGGCGAAGGCGGCAUCCUGGACCGACAUUGACGCUGAGGAGCGAAAGCUAGGGGAGCAAACGGG
RNAcentral lists this ribosomal RNA (253 nucleotides) under uncultured bacterium. RNAcentral's name for it is "partial 16S ribosomal RNA". It matches the Rfam family "Bacterial small subunit ribosomal RNA", at positions 524 to 776 of the family's 1533-position model. The record is from RNAcentral.